This 1467-nucleotide ribosomal RNA is filed under the name Legionella pneumophila. Its description in RNAcentral is "partial 23S ribosomal RNA". It matches the Rfam family "Bacterial large subunit ribosomal RNA", at positions 1 to 1503 of the family's 2925-position model. The record is from RNAcentral. Lineage: Bacteria; Pseudomonadati; Pseudomonadota; Gammaproteobacteria; Legionellales; Legionellaceae.
GUUAUAUGGUCAAGAAGAGAAGCGCAAACGGUGGAUGCCUUGGCAGUAAGAGGCGAAGAAGGACGUGGAAUCCUGCGAAAAGCUAUGGGGAGCUGGAAACGAGCGUUGAGCCAUAGAUGUCCGAAUGGGGGAACCCGGCUGCAGCGAUGCGGUCAUUUGCAUUUGAAUACAUAGGAUGCAAAGGCGAACUCGGGGAACUGAAACAUCUAAGUACCCGAAGGAAAAGAAAUCAAUAGAGAUUCUCCAAGUAGCGGCGAGCGAACGGGGAGGAGCCUGGCGUGAUUUAUUAUUGAAUUGAGUAGAACAACUUGGGAAGGUUGGCCAUAGAGGGUGAAAGCCCCGUAUACGAAGGUUUGAUGAGGAACUAGGCACGCGAGCAAGUAGGCCGGGACACGUGAAAUCCUGGUUGAAGAUGGGUGGACCAUCAUCCAAGGCUAAAUACUACUUACUGACCGAUAGUGAACCAGUACCGUGAGGGAAAGGUGAAAAGAACCCCGGAGAGGGGAGUGAAAUAGAAUCUGAAACCGUUUGCGUACAAGCAGUGGGAGCAUGGUUUAGGCUGUGUGACUGCGUACCUUUUGUAUAAUGGGUCAGCGAGUUACUUUCAGUGGCGAGGUUAACUGCAUAAGGGAGCCGUAGAGAAAUCGAGUCUGAAUAGGGCGAUAGUCGCUGGGAGUAGACCCGAAACCGGGCGAUCUAGCCAUGUGCAGGAUGAAGGUUGGGUAACACCAACUGGAGGUCCGAACCGGGUAAUGUUGAAAAAUUAUCGGAUGACGUGUGGCUAGGAGUGAAAGGCUAAUCAAGCCCGGAGAUAGCUGGUUCUCCCCGAAAGCUAUUUAGGUAGCGCCUCGUGAAUGAUUACUGGGGGUAGAGCACUGUUUCGGCUAGGGGGCUGUCAUGGCUUACCAAACCGAUGCAAACUCCGAAUACCGGCUAAUUGGAUCACGGGAGACACACGGCGGGUGCUAACGUCCGUCGUGGAGAGGGAAACAACCCAGACCGCCAGCUAAGGUCCCCAAGUACUAGUUAAGUGGGAAACGAUGUGGGAAGGCAUAGACAGCCAGGAGGUUGGCUUAGAAGCAGCCACCCUUUAAAGAAAGCGUAAUAGCUCACUGGUCGAGUCGGCCUGCGCGGAAGAUGUAACGGGGCUAAAACUAGUCACCGAAGCUGCGGAUGUGCGCGAAGGCGCACGUGGUAGGGGAGCGUUCUGUAGGCUGAUGAAGGUGCAUUGAGAGGUGUGCUGGAGGUAUCAGAAGUGCGAAUGCUGACAUGAGUAACGAUAAUGUGGGUGAAAAGCCCACACGCCGGAAGUCCCAGGUUUCCUGCACGACGUUAAUCGGAGCAGGGUGAGUCGGCCCCUAAGGCGAGGCUGAAGAGCGUAGUCGAUGGGAACCAGGUUAAUAUUCCUGGACUUUUUAUAAGUGGUGAAGUGGGGACGAAGAAGGCUAGGUGAGCCAGGCGUUGGUU